Molecule: long non-coding RNA, 1348 nt
Filed under: Homo sapiens (human)
Lineage: Eukaryota; Metazoa; Chordata; Mammalia; Primates; Hominidae
Description: non-protein coding HAND2-AS1:104
Source: RNAcentral
AAUGCAAGUGUUUAACAGAUGCUUCACUAUUAAAAUAUUUUCCCCCCAAGUCUCAAAUAUUGAAGAAUCUCUAACCAGGUACAGUAUCACUCUGCUCUCUUUUCUGGUUGAAAAGAAAGAAAGAAAGAAAACGCAGGUAUUGCUUUUCGAAGUGCUUUGUAGGUAAUCGAGGUAAGAAAAUAUACGCAGGCAGCCUCUUACAAUUUUAUGCAGGGGCGCCGGGAGCCUCGUGACGGGCGGUGGGGGCCCCCACAAAGGCGCGGCUGGGAGCUGGCGCUCUUUGCCCCAGCAGGGACGAGGAGCGGCUGGAGAAGGGUGUUUCUUUGACCCGUUUACAGGCUCGAAACGCCGGUCUCAGUGGCUAUUGAGUUACCCACCAAGUUACCCCGGUUAGAGCUGUUUGGGGUGGCUCACGUUAUUGCGGCAAACUUUGGAGAUGACGGCUGAGUCCUCCGGGCGAACAUGUCAAGCCGAUUGUAAAUGCUGUUAUUUCCACAUCCUUCAGGGACACCAGUCCCUACGAAGACCUUGGGCGAUUUUGAAGUGCGGGCACCUCGAUUCCCCGAAUCUGUAGUGUGGCUGGUAUCGGUGUUCCCCUGGUUUAACUAGCCUGUUUGGUAAGUAACUGAAUAUUUUUUACGGCGUGUUCAGAGCUUAUUUUCCAGUUUUUAUGAACAAACAUAUAAAUAUAUCUCUGCAUUCCUGCCUCCCUCAUAAAAGCGGGCAUCUGUGGAAAGCAGGUUUAGUUAUCGGAGGGGAACCAUUAAACGCCAGUUUAAGAGGCAGGCCGGGAGGACGGCUCGUGGAUGUUGAGACUGCUGGCCUUGGUGAUCUUGAACGCAUUAUAACGGAAAAUGGAUCUCCACUUAAGGCACAGAUCAUUCAUGGGGAUGUAUAACCGAAACCAGUCCUCUCCACCGCCUGGGGAUCUUCACUUUCGCAGUCUACGACUGCCUGUGACUCCAGAAAGACAAACUGCAGAUUGGCCAAGAUGGGGAAAUUGAGGCAGAGAAGCCAAGACAUGUGCUAAAGGUCAUGCAGGCUAUGAAUGGAGCUGGAAUGUGAACGCAGGCCAUAUGACCCCAGAGCCCAUGUUCUUGAACCCUUAGAAAGACAGCAGCAACACACCUGGUGCAGCAGCUGCUUAGUUGGAGUGGCUGACAAGAGAUCCUGGCAAAUGGGUGUUUCUUCCCAGAAAGGGAUUUUUCUCCAUGACUGCAGUUGAAUUGCAGAGUUGUAGAGACAUCCAGGUUCUUGUUAGUGUGGACGAACUAUCCAUGAAGAUCUUAAAUGCAGGAGUCUAUGAGAACACCAAUUAAUCAAUUGUCAAAUAUUUGAGUAUCUAUUG